RNAcentral lists this ribosomal RNA (1372 nucleotides) under uncultured bacterium. RNAcentral's name for it is "bacterial SSU rRNA". It matches the Rfam family "Bacterial small subunit ribosomal RNA", at positions 28 to 1381 of the family's 1533-position model. The record is from RNAcentral.
GAUGAACGCUGGCGGCGUGCCUAAUACAUGCAAGUCGAGCGAACGGACGAGAAGCUUGCUUCUCUGAUGUUAGCGGCGGACGGGUGAGUAACACGUGGAUAACCUACCUAUAAGACUGGGAUAACUUCGGGAAACCGGAGCUAAUACCGGAUAAUAUUUUGAACCGCAUGGUUCAAAAGUGAAAGACGGUCUUGCUGUCACUUAUAGAUGGAUCCGCGCUGCAUUAGCUAGUUGGUAAGGUAACGGCUUACCAAGGCAACGAUGCAUAGCCGACCUGAGAGGGUGAUCGGCCACACUGGAACUGAGACACGGUCCAGACUUCUACGGGAGGCAGCAGUAGGGAAUCUUCCGCAAUGGGCGAAAGCCUGACGGAGCAACGCCGCGUGAGUGAUGAAGGUCUUCGGAUCGUAAAACUCUGUUAUUAGGGAAGAACAUAUGUGUAAGUAACUGUGCACAUCUUGACGGUACCUAAUCAGAAAGCCACGGCUAACUACGUGCCAGCAGCCGCGGUAAUACGUAGGUGGCAAGCGUUAUCCGGAAUUAUUGGGCGUAAAGCGCGCGUAGGCGGUUUUUUAAGUCUGAUGUGAAAGCCCACGGCUCAACCGUGGAGGGUCAUUGGAAACUGGAAAACUUGAGUGCAGAAGAGGAAAGUGGAAUUCCAUGUGUAGCGGUGAAAUGCGCAGAGAUAUGGAGGAACACCAGUGGCGAAGGCGACUUUCUGGUCUGUAACUGACGCUGAUGUGCGAAAGCGUGGGGAUCAAACAGGAUUAGAUACCCUGGUAGUCCACGCCGUAAACGAUGAGUGCUAAGUGUUAGGGGGUUUCCGCCCCUUAGUGCUGCAGCUAACGCAUUAAGCACUCCGCCUGGGGGGUACGACCGCAAGGUUGAAACUCAAAGGAAUUGACGGGGACCCGCACAAGCGGUGGAGCAUGUGGUUUAAUUCGAAGCAACGCGAAGAACCUUACCAAAUCUUGACAUCCUUUGACAACUCUAGAGAUAGAGCCUUCCCCUUCGGGGGACAAAGUGACAGGUGGUGCAUGGUUGUCGUCAGCUCGUGUCGUGAGAUGUUGGGUUAAGUCCCGCAACGAGCGCAACCCUUAAGCUUAGUUGCCAUCAUUAAGUUGGGCACUCUAAGUUGACUGCCGGUGACAAACCGGAGGAAGGUGGGGAUGACGCCAAAUCAUCAUGCCCCUUAUGAUUUGGGCUACACACGUGCUACAAUGGACAAUACAAAGGGCAGCGAAACCGCGAGGUCAAGCAAAUCCCAUAAAGUUGUUCUCAGUUCGGAUUGUAGUCUGCAACUCGACUACAUGAAGCUGGAAUCGCUAGUAAUCGUAGAUCAGCAUGCUACGGUGAAUACGUUCCCGGGUCU